UUGAAAGGGAAACGAUUGAAGUCAGUCGUACCAGCGGGAAAUCAACCUUUCGAGUGGGGGUUUUGGAGUUUUGAAGAGUGUCAAAACCUUUGAGAUUUCAAAAUUUUCGCUCCUUUGGUGUACUUUCUCGUGGGUAGGUUAACAUCGAUUUCGAUCAUCAUAAAAGGAUUGGAGGAAUGUAGCUUCGAUCUUGUAUUGAAGUGUUAUAGCCUUUGGUAAAUGUGAUGAUUGGGAUCGAGGAUUGCAACGAAUACCCUUUUGGGCUAUCCGCCUGAUCUCUGAUACGUGGCCUUGGCAUCGAAAGCUUGCUUAUGGUAUCGAGGUAUUACGGUCAAAAGGUUAGAACGGAUUACAUUCGUUAAGGAUGUUGACGUA
Molecule: ribosomal RNA, 375 nt
Filed under: uncultured Glomeromycotina
Lineage: Eukaryota; Fungi; Glomeromycota
Description: LSU rRNA
Source: RNAcentral